This 207-nucleotide ribosomal RNA is filed under the name uncultured bacterium. RNAcentral describes it as "partial 16S ribosomal RNA". It matches the Rfam family "Bacterial small subunit ribosomal RNA", at positions 568 to 774 of the family's 1533-position model. The record is from RNAcentral.
CGCGUAGGCGGGGCCCUAAGUCAGUUGUGAAAACUCCAGGCUUAACUUGGAGAUUGCAUCUGAUACUGGGGUUCUUGAGUGCAGGAGAGGACAGUGGAAUUCCUAGUGUAGCGGUGAAAUGCGUAGAUAUUAGGAGGAACACCAGUGGCGAAGGCGGCUGUCUGGACUGUAACUGACGCUGAGGCGCGAAAGCGUGGGGAGCAAACA